This 741-nucleotide long non-coding RNA is filed under the name Oryza brachyantha (malo sina). Its description in RNAcentral is "long non-coding RNA (OBRA_LNC003132)". Lineage: Eukaryota; Viridiplantae; Streptophyta; Magnoliopsida; Poales; Poaceae. The record is from RNAcentral.
UUCGUUCCAUUUAGUUCACUUACUCAGCCACAUCCAUAAAAUCACCUUGGCUACAAUUGCAUGCCCUUAUAUAUCUAUAUACUUGUUUGUGCCUACGCCCAUAUAUUGGAGAACAAACACGAUGUGGGAGCAAAUGUUAGACGUAUGCGUGCUGCCUGUAUAUAUGCGUUUAGCCACAGCGGCGAAGACUGAAAUGCUAAAAUUAAUAUUUUUAAGAGGGCCAACAAUACUGCCAAUAUAUAUGAGGUGAGGCCUCUGCUAGUCUGUUCGCGCCUCCUUGGCUCCGCCCAUGUCUAGCCGACAGCUACAAUUUGUAGGGUGAUGAGAGAAUGAGACGUAUCAGGAGAUAACGAGGGACUAAUCAAGUCAUCUGGUGUGCAUGUGGUUUGGUUCAAGCUUGUUGACUUUUUUACUGGGAGACGAUAUCUACACAAACCACAUGACCAUGUUUUGUUUCGAUACAGAUAUAAAAUCAUCCGUCACCUAUAGGCUCUUGUGUCCCAGUACGCAGCCAGUCGGCGCACUGGGCCAUUUGCAUACAGAAGUCUCGACGAGUAGUAGCGGAUAAUCUGAGGAAGGGUGGGAACUAUCCUUAAACCAAGACAUCUUUGCUUCAAGUCUACUGUGAAUAUUUUAUCAGUUAUGGACUGAUCAAAAACACUCGAUAAACAUGACUUACAUAAAUGAAUUAACAGCGCACUGAGAAGUAGGGGCAUUUAGAAAAGGGGCAGGCCAAAGGAU